Prosopis cineraria is the source of this 463-nucleotide long non-coding RNA. RefSeq lists it as uncharacterized. The transcript has 2 exons. NCBI's taxonomy places the organism in Eukaryota, Viridiplantae, Streptophyta, Magnoliopsida, Fabales, Fabaceae. The record is from RefSeq and is a predicted model, not a curated record.
AUUUAAACACAAUAACCAAUAAUUAAUGGCUUUCAAAAAGCACUCUCUUAUUUUGUUGGUUCUCUUUCUUUCUGUUUUGCUUCUUACUGCUGAAGCAUUGGCCAGAAAACUUGGUGGUGCUUCGGAUCUUCAUACAUCUGCACAAGCAAGGAUUCUCGCCACCAAAGCAUCUGGCAAUCGAUGCUUGAUAGGAGCGGGAAUGCCAAGAGGUGAUGUCCCUCGUUGCCACAAUUAUUAGUAACAGUGAAAAGGUUGUGAUCUAUUUGGGAGAUGAAUAUUCCUUUUUCUUUUCCUUUUUGUAAUUUUUAUAUUUGUUUCUGCAAUUGUAUUGGAAGAACAAGACAUGUGUUUCAAAUUUAUGUGAAGUAUGUAAUAUUUUGAAAGUUUUUUAGUUAUUUAUGUACCUGGGAUAAUGACUUUCCUGAAUAUUAAGUGCUAGCUAACUGUGCAAUUCCCCUCUUCA